CUGUAUAUAGUCCUUGAAUUUUUACUGUUAUAAAAUAUCCCUUGGGUUGGAGGCCAUAGCACAUAACUCAGCCGUGGUGGAGCAUCUGUCCAGGGGGUGCGAGGCUCUGGGGUAAUAGAAACACAAUAACUUAUAAGCUAUAUUUAGAAGCAUCUGAGCUGUGAUGCCACAAGUAAUCCUCGGUAGAUUAGGACAGCCACUCGAUCAGAGUGCCUGGGGACUCGACCAUGGCAGCUGGGCCAAACCUGAGAGGCCAUGUGGGCGGGACACAGAAACUGCGACCCCCUCUCUGACCUGGCAUUAAAACACACGAGGCUGCCAGCCUCCACUGGAAAAACCUCCACACCUUGGCCAAACAUUUGGUAAAAAGUGUUGGACAUCACUUUCUGGUCGUGAAAGGGACACGGAUAUCCUCACGAUACGAUGGAUGUUGCAGGAAACUCUGGGAGCUGACUCAAGCGGGCAGCUCGGCUCUGGCGAGUCUCCGCCCACAAGCUGCCACUGCCCGGGACAGAACCAUCUGAAAAGCCUAUUUUUAUUUUGGGGAGGGAAGAUUCUCGAGACCUCUGCUGAGCUGUCCAGGCGCCUGAAGAGAAAGUAUUUUCCAGUUGCUUUUAACGAAGGUCAGGUAACACAUGUUCUCGGGCCUGGAUCAUGUUGCAUGAUUAAAAAUAGGGACUGCUUAUAUUUUCCGACUUAAGAAACUAGAAAUCUCUACCCUGUUAGGCCCCCAAACUUUGUUUUACUGUACAAAGUCUUUUUAAAUAUUAACCAAUACCUACUUUAUACACACACACAUGUAAUACACAUGCACACACACAUAUAUAUAUAAUACACAUGCACACACACACACACACGCAUAUAAUACACAUGCACAUGCCUACAGAUUGCAUUAAGCCCUAUUAAAUAUUAACUUCUGACUGGUCAAUAAUUGCCCUGGUUUUCCAGCUCUAACAACAGACUGUAAUUUGGUUUGACUCACUAAUAUUAACAUAUGGUGACACCUCACAUGCCAAGGUUAUUUUUGGAACCAGAAAAUCAAAACCUGAGCAUACUUCGGAACCAGUUAACCUGCUCUGUCAGAUUGACACACGCAGCAAGCCUCCAGUACGUGGACUGCUCCUGUUGUUUUAAUUUUAUUUAUUGUGAGUGGUACCUAUGUGUGUAUGUGUGUGUGCGUGUGUGUGCGUGUGUGUGCGUGUGUGUGCGUGUGUGUGCGUGUGUGUGCGUGUGUGUUGCGUGUGGACAUCAAAGCACAACUUUAGGGAGUUGGUUCUCUCCUUCCACCAUUGUUGAGGCAAAUCGCUCAGACCUCUCUUGGUUCUGUGCUGUGGACUUUGGGCUAGCUGGACUUUGGGGUUUUUCUACAGUAAGUAUCCAUUUCCUAUCCUAACAUCCCAUCAUAGAAGUGCUGGGACUGUAGAUGCAGAACCUUGAGAGUCCCCCACCCCCACCCCUUCUUCCCUUCUUCUCUUUCUCAGACAGAGUCUCACUAUGUAAACCCGGCUAACUAGAACUCGACACCCACUAUGUAGACCAGGCUUGCUUCUGCCUCACAAGAGCUGGAAUUAAAGUUUACUUUGAGACAAAGUCUCAUGUAGACCAGGAUGGCCUCAAACAUGCUAUGAAGCCGAAGAUGACCUCAAAUUCAAAUUCUGAUCCUCCCGUCUCUCUCCCUUCCCCCCAACCCCCAAUGCUACGGCUACAGGCUUGUGCCACUGUGCCCAGUUUCCUCCGAAGUGCUGGAGUUGAACCCAAGACUUAGUGCAUGGGAGGAAGGCGUUCUUCCACAAGCGAAGGAUGGCUUUGAACCUUUAAACUUCCUGACCCUGCUUUCCGAGGGCUGGGAUUCCGUGGAGGCGCCACCACAGCCAGUUUGUGUGGUACUCAGAAUGGAACCCGGGGCCUCCCGUGCGCCAGGCAACGCUUUACCAACUGAGCUACAGCCCGGUUUGGUGGAAUCCACAAAGAAGGAAAAGAAUGUGCUAUAAGAGAUGUCACAGACCACCUUCCCCGUACUCACCCGACCCAUGCACUCAGAUGUCAGAGACGCAUCAUGUACAUGUGCUACCCACAGAGCCCAGAAGGGGCAUUCGAUCCCUUAGGGCUGGAGUUGCAGACAGAUGUAAUCGGCUACCGGGCUGCUUGGAAUGAAACCCAGGUCCUCUGGAAGAGCAGCCGGUGCCUUUAAACACGGAGAUGUCUCUCCAUCCUCGACAGAGAGUGACAUCUAAGAGGCAUAUGCAAAGACCUGGCUGGAGCUCAGCUCCUGGGGCACUUGCCCGGCACACACAGGGCCUAGGUUCAGUCAGCAAUGAAACAAACAGAAGACGCUGAUGAGUACCUGUAGGUGCAGGAAGAUCCGAAUUUUAAGGCUGGCUUCGGUGACUUAAAUCCCACUUUCAACAAAAGUUAAUAAAAUAACAAAAAGCA
RNAcentral lists this small RNA (2433 nucleotides) under Rattus norvegicus (Norway rat). RNAcentral describes it as "uncharacterized LOC102547502". The record is from RNAcentral. Lineage: Eukaryota; Metazoa; Chordata; Mammalia; Rodentia; Muridae.